UGCUGGAAAUUGGACCCGGGGGCCGCCGUGAAGCCGGGGAAGGAGGAGCUCCGCUGCUGCAGGAGGCGGACGGCGGUGCGCCGGCUGGCUGCGUCCUCCGCCGCGGGGUGUGUGCAAGUCCUGCAAGGAAAACCGGUGGCCGGGCUCCCCGGCGCCGGCCCUCCGAUGCCUAAGUCAGAGGGGGCAAGUAUGUGGAGAGAGCGGGGGAGAGGAAGUGUAUGGAGAAGACACAGUAUUUUAUCAGAUCAAGAAGACAAAGGGAAUGAUGUCAUCAAUUGUGUCUGUGCUUCCCGGAGGGUUCAGUCCCGGGGGUCUGUUUCCGUUUUUGUUGUCGUCCCCCCCUUGGUUCUCCCAGGUUCUCUUUUAUAGGAGGGGAUUACGUUACCUGGGAGGUGACCGGGGGAUUUGUCCCUGUCCGUAANNN
RNAcentral lists this long non-coding RNA (424 nucleotides) under Phoenix dactylifera (date palm). Its description in RNAcentral is "long non-coding RNA (PDAC_LNC002142)". Lineage: Eukaryota; Viridiplantae; Streptophyta; Magnoliopsida; Arecales; Arecaceae. The record is from RNAcentral.